This 908-nucleotide unclassified non-coding RNA is filed under the name Centruroides sculpturatus (bark scorpion). Its description in RNAcentral is "uncharacterized LOC111625404, transcript variant X2". The record is from RNAcentral. Lineage: Eukaryota; Metazoa; Arthropoda; Arachnida; Scorpiones; Buthidae.
AACAGUUUUGAAAUCUUGUAUUUGCAUUUCAUGCCAGUUUGUGUGUCUGAUCUCAAAGAUCCUUGGUAAUUUUGGAUCAGUACCGCAAUAAAACUAAAUUUACUUGUAUAAAAUUCGAAUUUUCACCUAUUCCUGUUUUUGGUGUGAAUAUUUGUAGCCGCUUCUCCCGAAUACAUUGUACUAUAUCCAGUUGAAAAAACGAAUGAAUCUCAAUCGACUGUGGUCGGUUUAAGGUUUAAUAUGGAAUCGACUCACUUCGAUUCAAAACUAAAAUGCACUUCUAUUAUAUUCCAAGUUAUCGACGUCAGAAGUGAUGUAAAAGUUGUGGAGAAUAAUCGAAAAAAUGAACUCCAAAUGGAAGAAAACAGAGGAGCUGACAGUGUUAGAGCCGAAGAUGUUCGUGGUUUGGCCAAUCAUAUCAUGCCCAGAAUAGAAGUGUUAUUAUUAUUACUGCUGCUACCUUUUCUAUGAUGGAAUCGAUUGUCAAACUAGUCAGGUGAUAAACUAUCAAACUGCACUUGUCAGUCAGUCCACUCCCAAGUUCAGUUGACAAAAGCUUGUCUACUUAAACAACUGAAUGCAGUGUUUUAUCGUAAUUUGAUUCGAAAGGUACUUUGUUUCAGGUGCUUAAUUUGUCCGUGUUUUAUCAACAGGCACUCGCUGAAGUUUUGUUAUUUUUAUUUUUUUGUUAAAUUUACAGUCAAAUAUUUUUCAAUCUGUUUAAAUUUAAACUCUCUUCAUCAUUAUAACAGUAACUACAUCUAAAACUGUGACUUGAAAUUUUAAAUAUCAUAGAAUGGAAGAAAGAAAAAAGUUCUGACAUAUAAUAGAAAUAUAUAUAAUCGAGUGAGCAGCUAGUCUACGUAAAUUUGACUAAAAAAAAAGAAAAUUUUUUUAAUUUAUGAAAC